Molecule: ribosomal RNA, 484 nt
Filed under: uncultured bacterium
Lineage: Bacteria
Description: partial 16S ribosomal RNA
Rfam family: Bacterial small subunit ribosomal RNA
Source: RNAcentral
AUUGAACGCUGGCGGCAGGCCUAACACAUGCAAGUCGAGCGGAAGGAGGGAGCUUGCUCCUGGAUUCAGCGGCGGAAGGGUGAGUAAUGCCUAGGAAUCUGCCUGGUAGUGGGGGAUAACGUCCGGAAACGGGCGCUAAUACCGCAUACGUGCUGAGGGAGAAAGAGGGGGGGCUUCGGAACUCACGCUAGCAGAGGAGCCUAGGCCGGACUAGCUAGUUGGUGGGGUAGAGGCCUACCAAGGAGACGAUCCGUAACUGGUCUGAGAGGAUGAUCAGUCACACUGGAACUGGGACACGGACCAGACUACUACGAGAGGGAGCAGUGGGCAAUGUUAGACAGUGGGCGAAAGCCUGGUCCAGCCGUGCCGAGUGUGUGGAGGAGGUCUUCGGAUUGUAAAGCACGUUAACUUGGGAGGAAGGGCAUUAGGUUAAUACCUUGCUGUUUUGACGUUAACAACAGAAUAAGCACCGGCUAACUUCGUG